ACACAUGCAAGUCGAGGGGCAGCAUGAACUUAGCUUGCUAAGUUUGAUGGCGACCGGCGCACGGGUGAGUAACACGUAUCCAACCUGCCGAUGACUCGGGGAUAGCCUUUCGAAAGAAAGAUUAAUACCCGAUGGCAUAGUUCUUCCGCAUGGUAGGACUAUUAAAGAAUUUCGGUCAUCGAUGGGGAUGCGUUCCAUUAGGUUGUUGGCGGGGUAACGGCCCACCAAGCCUUCGAUGGAUAGGGGUUCUGAGAGGAAGGUCCCCCACAUUGGAACUGAGACACGGUCCAAACUCCUACGGGAGGCAGCAGUGAGGAAUAUUGGUCAAUGGACGAGAGUCUGAACCAGCCAAGUAGCGUGAAGGAUGACUGCCCUAUGGGUUGUAAACUUCUUUUAUACGGGAAUAAAGUGAGGCACGUGUGCCUUUUUGUAUGUACCGUAUGAAUAAGGAUCGGCUAACUCCGUGCCAGCAGCCGCGGUAAUACGGAGGAUCCGAGCGUUAUCCGGAUUUAUUGGGUUUAAAGGGAGCGUAGGCGGACGCUUAAGUCAGUUGUGAAAGUUUGCGGCUCAACCGUAAA
RNAcentral lists this ribosomal RNA (578 nucleotides) under uncultured bacterium. Its description in RNAcentral is "bacterial SSU rRNA". It matches the Rfam family "Bacterial small subunit ribosomal RNA", at positions 51 to 619 of the family's 1533-position model. The record is from RNAcentral.